ACUUGUUCUUUAAAUGAGGACUAGUAUGAAUGGCACCACGAAGGUUAUACUGUCUCCUUUCUCUAAUCAGUGAAACUAAUCCCCCCGUGAAGAAGCGGGGAUUCCAAUAUAAGACGAGAAGACCCUAUGGAGCUUUAAACAAAAUGACAACUACCACCGACAACACCAAUUUCAGAAAACAAGCCCACUCACCUUGGUACCAUGCCCAUUAGUUUUAGGUUGGGGUGACCGCGGAGCAAAAAACAACCUCCACAUUGAACAGAGACUUACCCUAAGCAAAAAGCAACAACUUUAUGCAUCAGCAUACUGACAUUAAUUGACCCAAUAAUUUGAUCAACGAACCAAGUUACCCUAGGGAUAACAGCGCAAUCCAUUUCAAGAGCCCCUAUCGACAAAUGG
This 399-nucleotide ribosomal RNA is filed under the name Proceratophrys cristiceps (Mueller's smooth horned frog). RNAcentral describes it as "partial 16S ribosomal RNA". It matches the Rfam family "Bacterial large subunit ribosomal RNA", at positions 1967 to 2515 of the family's 2925-position model. The record is from RNAcentral. Lineage: Eukaryota; Metazoa; Chordata; Amphibia; Anura; Alsodidae.